GGAAAAGGAAAAGGAACGGAGGGAUAGAGACAAGGACAGGAGCUGUAACAGAGAAAAGAACAAGAAGGAGGAUAGGGAACGGGAGAAGCCGAGGGGAAAGGACCGUGGAGAAGAUGCAGAUUUGUCUAAGGGUGAUGAGGGAGACCAGAAGAAGGGAGUUGACUUCCCAGGAGAGUCUGACCAGGCCUCUACAAAUGCCCUCCGGGACCGCAUUGCGAGGUAUGCCCUUGAGUAAUUGUUUCUGUUAGUUUCAUCCCAACAGAAAAAUGGAUUUGUUAGUACCUUCGUUCCGAGAUUUUCACUCUGAAUAUAAUUAUAUUAUGGACAGAUGAUGUGUUUAUGGAAUUGUUGUUGUUUUAUUAUUGAAGCUAUGACAUUAAUAUCGCAUCAUAGAUAAUAUUUUGUAGGGCUCUAGGAUAUGUGUUUAUCACCAGAAAACUAAAAUAUGUAGUUCAAUCUAGAAAAUAAAACAUGGACAAUUAUUCAACAGAGAGCAGAGAGGAGAAGAGCUAAGUCUAGGCAGAUAAAUAGGAAUUCAGCUGCAACAACUAAGUUGAUUCAAGCUGGCUCCUUGCCAGGGCGAAGCUUGUGCUGUGGGAUGGCGCCAUGGCAGCGGUGAUCCAGCCCAAAGCCACGAUACAAGUAGGACCGCUCAAUAUGUCCUCAAGUUUAAUCUUCUUCCUGAAUCCCACAGUUUUCUAUUUGUUAGUAUUUGGUGGUUAACAGAUCGAAUUACGCAAUAAUUAGAAAAAAUGGAUUGAUACCUUGGGUGGUUGGAAUCUGAAUGUGCUUAGCUUAAAAAAUGGAUUCAUACCUUUAAAAAAUGGUCAUCUAUGUAGUACUAGAUUGGUGAGACCACACACAGGCAUGUAUAUAGUCCUGAAAUAUGUUGCUUUCUUCAAGUGAUUGCGUUCAGAACAGUGAAAUAAUAAUGUGUACUCAUGAAUAGAUCAAUAUGAGUGUUUUCCCAUUUGACAUUUUAUCUCUCCAAGCUAUCGCAAGAGCUGCCUCCUCUCUUAAGUUGAUUGAUGUAACCAUGUUAACAUUAUUUUAAGUUGAUUGAUGUCUGUCCUAUAUGAUUAUGCACGCAAUUGAUUCCUGAUGAAUCAAUUCCAGUUGCAAGUUGGCGGAACUUUUUCUUCUGAGAUUGUGGCCACAAUUCUCAUUGAAUUGCAACGGAGAGGGUGGGAAGAAGUUGGUGCUUGUUAAAUUUUGAUAUCUUUUUUGAUGUUAGCAACUAGGCACUACUAACCUAUCUGUCAGAAUUGGUUCAUUACUAAAUGCAGAUAACAUGCGGGAGCGACUAGGAGGACCUGAACAUGAGGGAGGAAACAAGCCGAAGUGAGGCCACAAUGGCUUUGGGUGGCGCACAAGUGCUCCAGGUGACCAAGAAAUGCGGCAUCCACGAUGUACGGUGACAUGACCGGGCAGGAGGGCACAAGGGAGAGGGCUAGAGAGGAUAAAGUAAAUGUGGCAUCACUAUUAUCAUGCUCGCGUGGUCAGUGAAGACAUAAGAAAACGGACACGUGACAUCCACCGUUGCCAGCACACACA
This 1554-nucleotide long non-coding RNA is filed under the name Hordeum vulgare. RNAcentral describes it as "long non-coding RNA (HVUL_LNC018187)". The record is from RNAcentral. Lineage: Eukaryota; Viridiplantae; Streptophyta; Magnoliopsida; Poales; Poaceae.